Molecule: ribosomal RNA, 35 nt
Filed under: Bactris constanciae
Lineage: Eukaryota; Viridiplantae; Streptophyta; Magnoliopsida; Arecales; Arecaceae
Description: partial 18S ribosomal RNA
Source: RNAcentral
GUUUUUUCGUAGGUGAACCUGCGGAAGGAUCAUUG